GCCCGAAGCCGACUAUCUAACCUUUUGGAAGAAGUCGUCGAAGGUGGAAUCAAUAACUGGGGUGAAGUCGUAACAAGGUAGCCGUAUCGGAAGGUGCGGCUGGAUCACCUCCUUUCUAAGGAGA
This 124-nucleotide ribosomal RNA is filed under the name Clostridioides difficile. RNAcentral's name for it is "partial 16S ribosomal RNA". It matches the Rfam family "Bacterial small subunit ribosomal RNA", at positions 1419 to 1533 of the family's 1533-position model. Lineage: Bacteria; Bacillati; Bacillota; Clostridia; Peptostreptococcales; Peptostreptococcaceae. The record is from RNAcentral.